This 601-nucleotide ribosomal RNA is filed under the name uncultured fungus. RNAcentral's name for it is "eukaryotic LSU rRNA". It matches the Rfam family "Eukaryotic large subunit ribosomal RNA", at positions 23 to 641 of the family's 3401-position model. Lineage: Eukaryota; Fungi. The record is from RNAcentral.
ACCCGCUGAACUUAAGCAUAUCAAUAAGGGGAGGAAAAGAAACCAACAGGGAUUGCCCUAGUAACGGCGAGUGAAGCGGCAUCAGCUCAAAUUUGAAAUCUGGCUCUUUCAGAGUCCGAGUUGUAAUUUGUAGAGGCAUAUUCGGGCAGCGGUUUAGUCUAUGUCCUUUGGGACAGGGCGUCAUAGAGGGUGAGAAUCCCGUAUGACUUUCCUCGCAGCUUAUGUGAAUGGCCUUCUAAGAGUCGAGUUGUUUGGGAAUGCAGCUCUAAUUGGGUGGUAAAUUCCAUCUAAAGCUAAAUACUGGCAAGAGACCGAUAGCGCACAAGUAGAGUGAUCGAAAGGUGAAAAGCACUCCGGAAGGAGAGUUAAACAGCACGUGAAAUUGUUGAAAGGGAAGCACUUGAGAGCAGUACUGGGACUUUAUUCAUCAACCUUCAUUUUUGUAGGUGCACUGGGUUUAGUUCUGGCCAGCAUCAUUUUUGGCAGUGGUAUAAUGUCCUAGGGAAUGUGGCUCUCUUCGGAGAGUGUUAUAGACCUAAGUCCAUACCAUUAGCUGGGAAUGAGGUUCGCGCUUCGGCUAGGAUGCUGGCAUAAUGAUCUU